UACGGAGGAUCCAAGCGUUAUCCGGAUUUGUUGGGUUUAAAGGGUGCGUAGGCGGGACAGUAAGUCAGUGGUGAAAUCCUAUCGCUUAACGAUAGAAUUGCCAUUGAUACUGCUGACCUUGAGUACAAAUGAUGUGGGCGGAAUGUGCAGUGUAGCGGUGAAAUGCUUAGAUAUUGCACAGAACACCGAUAGCGAAGGCAGCUCACAAAAAUGUAACUGACGCUGAGGCACGAAAGUAUGGGGAUCAAACAGG
Molecule: ribosomal RNA, 253 nt
Filed under: uncultured bacterium
Lineage: Bacteria
Description: partial 16S ribosomal RNA
Rfam family: Bacterial small subunit ribosomal RNA
Source: RNAcentral